CGGACCCACGGGGGCGGUGCGCGAACCCCGCGGCCGGAGGGGGCCCCGCCUCUAGGCGGGCCGGGCGAGGGGGAGCGCACCCCGACUUCCCUGGAUCACAUGGGCUGCGGGGGGCGGGUGGAUCGGGGGAGGGGGAGGCGCGGGGAGCUCGCGGCCGCUCCUCGCUCGGGCAGGGGAGAAGACGCCCCCCACCCCCUCUAGUUCGGCCUCUCCAUUCAAGUUCGCCGGCCCCGGCCGCCGGGAUCCGGGGAUGGCACCAGCCGCCCGCCUAGCCCUGCGCCCUUUUUCCAGCCACCGCGCAGAAAUUUAGGUCAAGGACGUCGGGAUCAAACCCAAACCCUGGCGCUCCUCGGCGGGCCCCGAAACCCCCCAGGAUCGGGGAGCUUCAGGAUUGCGGAGACCCUCCCGCACAAACAGCAGCCACAACUUUUAUUUUCCUUUGGCUCUGGAAGUUCUCUCUGGCUCUGGCUCCACACCGGCACGUCUUGCGCCGCUCCCCGCCCUUCCCCGGCAGAGGAUUAGGACACAAUGGAAUACACUCAACAGCAAAACUAUACCAAAUCCACUGUGGGUCGUGGCAAAGUGGAAUAUUUGGAAAAUCCCAACACUAGCCAAAGCCUUGGAUGACCAGAUUCUUAAUCUCCCUGCCUCCUAAAUUUGGGAUAAUUCCUCACUGACAGGAUUGAUGGGGUGAGAGGAGAGAUUGAAGAUUGCAUUUCACUGCCAAGCCAAGUGCCUCUCUGAUUAAAGAGUAUGUUCACUUCAUCUCUCGUAGUCUCUUACAAGCCUACUCUUAAGAAUAGACAUGGCAGACUUGGCACCAAAAAAGCAAACCAUAUUUUUACCAGAAACUAUUUAGUGAAAUGAGUUUUUAUUCAUGAAAACUUUACCAAGUAUAAAUUUCAUGUCUGAAAGUAAUGGGCCCUUUGUAUUUCCCUUCAAUAAAUAAAUAGCUUCUUUCCUCAAGAAUUACAACUUCUGAGCAUGCUCUUAAAUUCAAAGCUAGUUUGUUUUCUUCCAAGAAAAUGAAGAUAUGCAUGUGCAUACAGACCCUUCUUUGGUUGGUCCUUCUUCUAGAUCUGUGUAAAAUGGGAAAGCCAAGAUGGUAUCUUUCUUUUUUUUUUUAAAGAUUUUAUUUAUUUAUUUGAGAGAGAAUGAGAUAGAGAGAGAGAGCACGAGAGGGAAGAGGAUCCGAGGGAGAAGCAGACUCCCCGCCGAGCAGGGAGCCCGACGCGGGACUCGAUCCCGGGACCCCGGGAUCAUGACCCGAGCCCAAGGCAGCCGCCCAACCGACUGAGCCACCCAGGCGCCCCAGAUGGUAUCUUUCUAACAGUCGUAACUGGAGAUAUAAAAUAUCUGGGAAGAACAUGAACAAAGGCAGAGGGUGUGAGGCUGAAAGCGAAACUGGAUUUUUCAAACACUCUUUACUUAUCUAACAUAUAAAUAUCUUUAUGUGUAAUUUACUCCCAACAUUGUCUGGUAUACUUAGAGACAUAAAAGUCUAUUUAAA
Zalophus californianus (California sea lion) is the source of this 1510-nucleotide long non-coding RNA. RefSeq lists it as uncharacterized. The transcript has 3 exons. The record is from RefSeq and is a predicted model, not a curated record. Lineage: Eukaryota; Metazoa; Chordata; Mammalia; Carnivora; Otariidae.